This 301-nucleotide ribosomal RNA is filed under the name uncultured bacterium. Its description in RNAcentral is "partial 16S ribosomal RNA". It matches the Rfam family "Bacterial small subunit ribosomal RNA", at positions 509 to 807 of the family's 1533-position model. The record is from RNAcentral.
CAGCCGCCGCGGGAAUACGAAGGGGGCUAGCGUUGCUCGGAAUGACUGGGCGUAAAGGGCGCGUAGGCGGUUUAUACAGUCAGAUGUGAAAUUCCUGGGCUCAACCUGGGGACUGCAUUUGAUACGUAUGGACUUGAGUGGAGAAGAGGGUCGUGGGAUUUCCAGUGUAGAGGUGAAAUUCGUAGAUAUUGGAAAGAACACCGGUGGCGAAGGCGGCGACCUGGUCUUCAACUGACGCUGAGGCGCGAAAGCGUGGGGAGCAAACAGGAUUAGAUACCCGAGUAGUCCCUGUCUCUUAUAC